Molecule: small RNA, 83 nt
Filed under: Marmota monax (woodchuck)
Lineage: Eukaryota; Metazoa; Chordata; Mammalia; Rodentia; Sciuridae
Source: RNAcentral
GCCAGGUGUAGUGGUGCAUGCCUGUAAUCCCAGUGGCUUGGGAGGUUGAGGCAGGAGGAUCUCAGGUUUGAAACCAGCCUCUA